Molecule: unclassified non-coding RNA, 414 nt
Filed under: Didymopanax cordatus
Lineage: Eukaryota; Viridiplantae; Streptophyta; Magnoliopsida; Apiales; Araliaceae
Description: Schefflera cordata partial may contain external transcribed spacer and 18S ribosomal RNA
Source: RNAcentral
UGGGUUGGUCGGAUCCCNGCUUGUGMAGCGACGGCCGCUCUUACUUCCCUUUUCAUUCUUGCUCCAAGAGCGAUAUGCCUUGGACCAAUUUGGUUGCCUGUGUUGCAUACCUACGUUGAUGGAAUUCGCUCGUCCAAUCGCCCCUUAUUCACCUUGUGCUGCUUACGCGGUGCAGGGUGAACCAUGCAAUGUCCGUCGUUGUCCGUUCUUGCCCUGCGUUCACGCGACGCAUGAAAUGGCCAAUGUUGUGACACUCGAAUUCUCGGAUACAGAACCCUAAAGAGGGCAACGGGUCUUUGGCCUUGAUUUUGCCUAAACUAAGUUCUUACAAACGACUGUCUUGCCCGUUUUGACCUGAGGAUGCUUUCGGUCCGACUGGCUCAUGCGGCGCAGACGUCRAAGAGGAAUGCUACC